Danio rerio (zebrafish) is the source of this 2324-nucleotide non-coding RNA. NCBI's taxonomy places the organism in Eukaryota, Metazoa, Chordata, Actinopteri, Cypriniformes, Danionidae. The record is from RefSeq and is a predicted model, not a curated record.
UGGAAAGGAACUACUUAGUAAAUAUGAACUUUGAAGUUUGUGGGAUUUGAACACAGUCAUAGCUAGACCUCAAAUGAAAUGAUUAUCCGCAGCACCACAGAAUCUGAAACAAUGCAAGGCUAUUUUAAAUGGCGUUUUAGACCUUUUCGGUCCUGAAUUGAUUAGUAAACAAGUACUUUAGUGAUUGUGGGAAUCGAACCCUGAUGUUUGUGAAACAAAAUGUGAACACUUAUCCACUGCGCCAUACAAUACAAAACAACAUUAGCAUGUUUUAAAUGGGGUUUUAGACUUUUUUGGGUCUGCAUUACUUAGUAAACUUGAACUUUGGUAACAGCAAGAUUAGAUCCCAAACAGCUCACCACCAAAUCACUAACAACCAUCCACUGAGCCACUGAACAUGCCAAACUUUAUUUCUCCAAAUUGUCUUACAGACUUUCAGUUUAAAUUGAACGUUUUUACUUUGAACUUAAAUAAUUGAUCAAAACCCACUACAAGCUUCAUUAAUCAUGGGAUUUGAACGCAGACUUUCUUGUACCAUGACGCAGAGAACUAUCCACUCGACCACUGAAUCAGUCAUAUCAGUUAAUGAAAACACAUUAAAUGCUUAAUGUUCAUCCCCAUGAAAAAUAAAAAAACACUACAGGUUCCACUAAAUCUGAGUUGAUUGAAUCUAAAAUUUAGUGUAGCACUGCAUAACUAACUCUAAACACAAUGACAAACAGAUCUGCAGCCAAUUAUAACUUCAAAUCACUAUAUUUAAUGUCUUUCAUUUACAUCCUGAACAGGCAGCUAAUUGUAUAUUCAUCACCUGCAGCCAAUCAACAGUCAGCAUGUGUCAGUGUUCAACUUAAUACGAACUGUGUCAAACUGAAAGUCUAUAUUGAUGCCAUCCAGCUCAGUCAACACAAAUGUUUUUCAUGUUUUAUCUGACACCUUUGAUUCUGCUAACUCUCACAAAUCUCUUUUCAUGCAGUCAUGAUGCUAUCCUGUGUCAUUCUCACCAAAAUGAGACCUUAUGUUUCCCGUAAGCUUACUGAGAUCAAGAGUUCUCUUCCUUGUGGACAAUAAGUGUAUCAUUAAAAUAUGGAAAAGCAGUAGGAUUCAAAAUGAGGAGGUGUGUCAAAUCCUGCUCCGCUUUCCUGAGUUUAACUACAACCUGAUUGAAAACACCUGGGCAAAUGAAGAUCUUCAGGAUUGAACAUCCAUGCAGGAUCUACCAAGCCAGGUCAGAGGUCAUGGAGAGCUCUUGAGCAGAACUGGAUUCCUGAUGGAUUGGAAACAACUGUUUCCUGAGUUAUUUACCGUUUUCUGUGUUAAUUCUGUUUAAAGUCAUUUUCUUUGUGUGCAGGAGAGACUUUCUGUGUAGCAGCAGCUGCCAGUCUGGAUGAAGAUUAUACCAGUAUUCAACCAGUUUCCCAUUAGACGGCUGAGAGUACAAGAAACAGCCUUGAGGAUGAAACAGGUCGUUCCCUGUAGAGCGGCACGGCGGCAUCAGCGAGCUGCUCUUAGCCUGAACACCUUUGACAACAGCGCCACAGAUCAUCACAGGUACACCGUUUUACUGGCGUCAAGUUGAGCUCCAGCAGAUGACAGCUCAGUGACAGACUCAUAAUGUCAGUCAACAGCACAUAUUACAGCCCGACAGUGAUGAAAAGCAACACAAAGUGCAGAAAUGGAGAGUAACGCGACUCACCUGUAAGUGACUUUGUUUCGGUGGGUUUGUUUGUAGUGAUGUUGCUGUAGUGUUUGUGUUCAGGCAUUGCUCUCUCUCCUCCUCUGCAGCAGUGAAGAUACACACGUGUGUCUGUUGUGUUUCUGCUGCACAUCUUUCCUCUUUCUGACGCUCCUCCACACACUCCUCCACAUCCAGGCGGAUUCACAGCUCCAGUAAAGCUCACACACAGGUCAGCAGUCAAACAUCAGUUCCAGCAGGUGUUCAGACAGGAGAUCUGUGGCUCUGUGGUAAGAGCGCUGCCCCACGGCUUCAGGGGUUGCUGGUAUCGGUCCCAGCCAGAACUCUGCGAUAUGUGUGAAUGGAGAGACUUUCUGUGUAGCAGCAGCUGCCAGUCUGGAUGUAGAUUAUACCAGUAUUCAACCAGUUUCCCAUUAGACGGCUGAGAGUACAAGAAACAGCCUUGAGGAUGAAACAGGUCGUUCCCUGUAGAGCGGCACGGCGGCAUCAGCGAGCUGCUCUUUUAGCCUGAACACCUUUGACAACAGCGCCACAGAUCAUCACAGGUACACCGUUUUACUGGCGUCAAGUUGAGCUCCAGCAGUUGACAGCUCAGUGACAGACUCAUAAUGUCAGUCAACAGCACAUAUUA